AAAGGGAGACCUAAUUCCAGUAGGAGACGAAAAAAAAGUAGUCCCUACCAAGAAUCAAUCCCAAAAGGUCGGAGCGAGGCAAAAUUGGCUUUCAAACUAGGUUCUGGGUUCACACAAGACCUGAAUCAGGAACAAGGGCUGUUAGCUCAGGUGGUUAGAGCGCACCCCUGAUAAGGGUGAGGUCCCUGGUUCGAGUCCAGGAUGGCCCACCUGCACAGGUGGAAGAAAGAAAAGAAGCUCCGAAUCAGCACCUUAUCUUACUUAUAUAGUAAGAGAGAAUGCUGGCUCUGAGUACAGAGUCCAGAGGAACCUUGAAAACUGCAUAGAGCUAGGUGAAAAAGCCAAAAAAGAAGACCGCAAG
RNAcentral lists this transfer RNA (361 nucleotides) under uncultured Microcystis sp. RNAcentral's name for it is "partial 16S-23S ribosomal RNA intergenic spacer". The stretch from base 136 to 209 matches the Rfam family "tRNA". The record is from RNAcentral. Lineage: Bacteria; Bacillati; Cyanobacteriota; Cyanophyceae; Chroococcales; Microcystaceae.